This 72-nucleotide transfer RNA is filed under the name Stegodyphus mimosarum. It matches the Rfam family "tRNA". Rfam says of the family: Transfer RNA (tRNA) molecules are approximately 80 nucleotides in length. Their secondary structure includes four short double-helical elements and three loops (D, anti-codon, and T loops). Lineage: Eukaryota; Metazoa; Arthropoda; Arachnida; Araneae; Eresidae. The record is from Rfam by way of RNAcentral.
GCAUUCAUGGUGCAACGGUUAACACACUCGGCUCGUAUUCGAGAGGUUCAGGUUCGAAUUCUGGCGAGAGCA